CCUACGGGAGGCAGCAGUGAGGAAUAUUGGUCAAUGGCCGGAAGGCUGAACCAGCCAUGCCGCGUGAAGGUCAGUGCCCUAUGGGCGUUAAACUUCUUUUGUGCGGGAGCAAUAAUUGUCACGUGUGGCCAGACGAGAGUACCGUACGAAUAAGCAUCGGCUAACUCCGUGCCAGCAGCCGCGGUAAUACGGGGGAUGCAAGCGUUAUCCGGAUUUAUGGGGGUUUAGGGGUUCGUAGGCUGGGAGGUAAGUCAGCGGUGAAAUGCCCCCGCUCAACGGGGUGAAGUGCCAUUGAUACUGCCUUGCUGGAAUGCGGAUGCGGUGGGAGGAAUGUGUGGUGUAGCGGUGAAAUGCAUAGAUAUCACACAGAACACCGAUUGCGAAGGCAUCUCACGAAUCCGCGAUUGACGCUGAUGCACGAAAGCGUGGGUAGCAAACAGGAUUAGAUACCCUGGUAGUC
Molecule: ribosomal RNA, 460 nt
Filed under: uncultured bacterium
Lineage: Bacteria
Description: partial 16S ribosomal RNA
Rfam family: Bacterial small subunit ribosomal RNA
Source: RNAcentral